AAUCCUAUUGACAUGACCAUACCAAACAAGUUGUUGGUCAUGACGUCGAACACGAUGUCAUUUUCGACUUCCAUUAUCUGACGCACUCUAUCAUACGGACCCGAUCUCUCCUAGAAAUUCCUGCCGACCUUCUCCAGAAAUCCAUCUCCGUUGCUCUUAGCAUAUCCUGUGUCCGUUUCUUCAGCUGCCAAACUUCACAUCCGUAUGUUAAUAUACUUUUUACUACAGCGUUGUAUAUCCUCCUCUUGUUAUCUUUGGAAAUCCGCUGAUCCCAGAGGAUUCCAUUUAACAUCGCUAUAGCCUUCCUUGCUAAUACAUAUCAUACAUGCAUGGGGAUAAUUUCAAGUGCGAAAAUAUUCUUGUCCUCUUAUACUUGAAAUUAAUUCCAGUGAAAAAAUGUAUGUAACAAAUUGACAACUGUCUCUAAGGAAACCCAAAGGGUUGAGUUCAACUGAUUGUAAGACUCAGUACGUCGUUGACUUCAAACAUUUUUUCCAUGGUCUCUCAUUCCAUAUCUUUAAAACAAUAGUGCAUUUUCUUCAGAAAAUACAGAAUAAAUUAAGAAGAAUACAUUAUUCUUUUCAAUUCUGCUCGGCGAGUCUAGCCUCAGUCAUCAGCUCUGACCACCAAAAAACCGCGACCACCAUCACUGCGGUCACGAUUGACAGGCCGGAAACUAAUAGCCAGAUGAUCGCCACAGAAAGUGAGGAGCAACACGACCAAUACCCCUUCAAAAACGCGGGAUAUCCAAAAACUCGCAGAGCUGGAGGCUCAAGUACGAUGACGAGCAGCUCGUAUUCAACGGAUGAAAACGGGGUUAGGAAAACUAUGAAUCGUGCAACCACUCAAAAAAUAUCUCCGGGUCGCUCGUCAUCUUGGCACACUGUCGAUUACGACGAUGGAACUGUGAUUGCGAGCGUGGUCAGUCGUGGUCCUGCAGAUAUCGUGGUCCAAGGGAAUAAGGCUUACGUGAACGGGAUUUUUGUUUCUGGGGAUGUGAGACAGUUACCUACAGAGCCUACUUACCAGAAAACACAGGACGGGAGCUACUGGUUCACCAACCUCCCCCUUGGCUGGGAAAUGGAUGAGAGAGAGAAAAAAUUCUUCAAUGAUAAGAAGAGAAGGAUGAAUGGACAAAGAGAAGACUAUGCAAAUGCUGGACAGGCCAUUAUAAAAUCAGCAGGCAUCACGCAACCUAAUUGGAGCUCCCCGGAUGGGUAUGGAAGGAACGUGGAGAAUAUAUGGGACCUGCAGAGAGCUUUGGCAAUCAGUUCUCAAAUGACAUUCUGA
RNAcentral lists this long non-coding RNA (1290 nucleotides) under Bemisia tabaci. RNAcentral's name for it is "lncRNA ENSSWEETPG008987". Lineage: Eukaryota; Metazoa; Arthropoda; Insecta; Hemiptera; Aleyrodidae. The record is from RNAcentral.